Molecule: long non-coding RNA, 466 nt
Organism: Hibiscus syriacus
Lineage: Eukaryota; Viridiplantae; Streptophyta; Magnoliopsida; Malvales; Malvaceae
Exons: 4
Source: RefSeq, a predicted model, not a curated record
UGAGGACCGAGUGGACUCAGGAUGAAGGAAGAUGUCGCAAUGGACAUGGAAAUGGAUAUACUUAACAAGCUUCCACCACCUCUGGAACGCCGCCCUUCAUUGACAACCUCAUCAAAAACAUUCAAACCGAUAACUUACGCUUGCUGCACAGUAUCAACAAAGAUUACUCAGAGUUGAUGUAAAACUACCAACUGUGAAAGUGAGAUACAAGAACCUCCGCGUGGAAGCUGAAUGUGAUGUAGUUCAUGGGAAGCCGCUACCUACACUAUGGAAUUCUUUAAAAACCAUGGUUUCUUUCCCUGCAGCAGCAAAACUGAUGGGUUCGAAAUCACGCAGCUAAAAUAUGCCUUAUCGGCGAUGUCAGUGGCAUCAUAAAAUCUGGAAGGAUGACUCUACUUCUUGGUCCUCCAGGACGUGGGAAGACCACCUUGUUGAGGCACUUUCCGGAAAUCUAGACCGAUCGCUU